Molecule: transfer RNA, 70 nt
Filed under: Diploptera punctata (Pacific beetle cockroach)
Lineage: Eukaryota; Metazoa; Arthropoda; Insecta; Blattodea; Blaberidae
Description: tRNA-Asn
Source: RNAcentral
UUGGUUGAAACCAAAGUAGAGGUGUAUUACUGUUAAUAAUAUAAUUGAAUAUAUAUAUAUUCCAGCCAAG